CCUACGGGAGGCAGCAGUGGGGGAUAUUGCACAAUGGGGGGAACCCUGAUGCAGCGACGCCGCGUGGGUGAAGAAGCGCCUCGGCGCGUAAAGCCCUGUCAGCAGGGAAGAAAAUGAAGGUACCUGAAGAAGAAGCCCCGGCUAACUACGUGCCAGCAGCCGCGGUAAUACGUAGGGGGCAAGCGUUAUCCGGAUUUACUGGGUGUAAAGGGGGCGCAGACGGCGAUGCAAGCCAGGAGUGAAAGCCCGGGGCCCAACCCCGGGACUGCUUUGGAAACUGUGUUGCGGGAGUGCAGGAGGGGUAAGCGGAAGUCCUAGUGUAGCGGUGAAAUGCGUAGAUAUUAGGAGGAACACCGGUGGCGAAGGCGGCUUACUGGACUGUAACUGACGUUGAGGCUCGAAGGCGUGGGGAGCAAACAGGAUUAGAUACCCCAGUAGUC
RNAcentral lists this ribosomal RNA (440 nucleotides) under uncultured bacterium. RNAcentral describes it as "partial 16S ribosomal RNA". It matches the Rfam family "Bacterial small subunit ribosomal RNA", at positions 338 to 795 of the family's 1533-position model. The record is from RNAcentral.